Non-coding RNA from Caerostris extrusa, 102 nucleotides. Lineage: Eukaryota; Metazoa; Arthropoda; Arachnida; Araneae; Araneidae. The record is from the annotation of a GenBank genome assembly.
AACGGCCAUACCAUGCUGAAUAUACCGGUUCUCGUUCGAUCACGCAUCAUCGGGCGCGGUCAGUACUUGGGAGGGUGACCACCUGGGACACCGCGUGCCGUU